CAUGGGAGCAAAUGCAAAUCUCACCCAGCCCCUCCCUUGCUGGGUUGAAAAGCAGGGAACUGGGCCUGUGAAAGUGACUCCUGUGCCCACCAUGGACAUGCUGUGGUCUACUCUCCUGCUGCUGACCUUCCCUUCCUGGGCUCUGUCUCAGGUCACCCUGAAGGAGUCUGGCCCUGGGCUGGUGAGACCCUCCCAGACCCUCACGCUGACCUGUUCCUUCUCUGGGUUCUCACUGAGCACUAGUAAUAUGGGUGUUGGCUGGAUCCGUCAGCCCCCUGGGAAGGCACUGGAGUGGCUCACAAAUGUUUGGUGGGAUGAUGAUAAGUAUUACAACCCAACUCUAAGGAGCAGGCUUACCAUCUCCAAGGACACCUCCAAAAACCAGGUCGUUCUCACAAUGACCAGUAUGGGCCCUGAAGACACAGCCACAUAUCACUGUGCAUGGAGGACACAGAGACACAUCCCAGGGGCCUCCUGUGUAUACUCUGAGGUUCAGCUCAUUCAGUCUGGGCCUCAGGUGAGGAAGCCUGCGACCUCAGUGAAGGUCUCCUGCAAGGCUUCUGGAUGCACCUUCACCAGCUACUGGAUUCACUGGGUGUGA
Non-coding RNA from Phyllostomus discolor (pale spear-nosed bat), 601 nucleotides. The record is from the annotation of a RefSeq genome assembly. NCBI's taxonomy places the organism in Eukaryota, Metazoa, Chordata, Mammalia, Chiroptera, Phyllostomidae.